GUGAUAGGCGGCAGUGUGUGUGUGGGGGGGGAACCGCUGAGAGGAAAAGAGAGGCAAGCGUGUGAGUGUGCCUGUGUGGGUGAUCACGAAUGAGAUGCGAGAGAGAGGAAGAGGAAGGAUCGCCUUUUUCUCUUCUGCCUUCCAAACCGCGAGCUGACGAGCAGAGCGAGGGAAACGAGAAGGAAAGGAGGGAGAAUCCCGGCAGGCAAAGUGAUCUGCCGACGCCUCCUCCGGGGUGAGGGAGUCCGCAACCUCCCCGGCUUCGUCUGGGCCACGCCGUCGUCCGUGCGCCUCCUCCUCCUCCUCCUCGCCCCCCCCCCCGCCAGCCUCAGCCUCCUUCCGUCUGCCAACUCCAGGGAUCCGUCUGAGACUGCUGUGCGUGCUUCGAUGGCAGCGAGCAGAUAGGCAAGGAGCAGCGGUGUCAGGAGGAGAGAGAGGAGAGUCCAAGGGAUUAGCCUCAAUUCAGAAUACUGUCCGCCAUUGUCUGUUCAGGAAGCCACGAGAACAAAACAGCCCACAGCUUCAGCUUCUUCACCAUCAACUAAAUGAAAUGAAGUAUUCUGGAGAAAGGUUUAUUGGGGAUCAGUGCCCAUUUGGACAGGAAGAAAAGUGACAGGGCAGAUGACAGUAUGAUCUUUAGAAGAAGGUUCAAAAAUGCAAGCAAGAGAACAAACCAAUCAUGUAUGGAGGAGGAAAAGAAGAAGUUGUGAUUAGAAGACCUACAUCCCCCACUAUGAUGACCUCUCAAACUGAGGAAACCGCUUGUCCCUAACUCAGCAGCUUCCCUGGGAGUGCUAACAUUCACAGAAACAUCCAGAGGAAACAGGAGCAAUCUGAUUGUAGCUAGUCUUGGAUUU
RNAcentral lists this long non-coding RNA (857 nucleotides) under Salvator merianae (Argentine black and white tegu). Its description in RNAcentral is "lncRNA (ENSSMRG00000003286.1)". Lineage: Eukaryota; Metazoa; Chordata; Lepidosauria; Squamata; Teiidae. The record is from RNAcentral.